AGGGCGUUCAGUCGCUGGGUGUAGACCCGAAACCAGGUGAUCUAUCCAUGGCCAGGAUGAAGGUGCGGUAACACGCACUGGAGGUCCGAACCGACUAGUGUUGCAAAACUAGCGGAUGAGCUGUGGAUAGGGGUGAAAGGCUAAACAAACCUGGAGAUAGCUGGUUCUCUCCGAAAACUAUUUAGGUAGUGCCUCAAGUAUUACCGUCGGGGGUAGAGCACUGUUAUGGCUAGGGGGUCAUGGCGACUUACCAAACCAUUGCAAACUCCGAAUACCGAUGAGUACAGCUUGGGAGACAGUGCACCGGGUGCUAACGUCCGGACACAAGAGGGAAACAACCCAGACCGCCAGCUAAGGUCCCUAAUAUUGGCUAAGUGGGAAACGAAGUGGGAAGGCUAAAACAGUCAGGAUGUUGGCUUAGAAGCAGCCAUCAUUUAAAGAAAGCGUAAUAGCUCACUGAUCGAGUCGUCCUGCGCGGAAGAUGUAACGGGGCUAAGCCAGUAACCGAAGCUGCGGAUGUGCGCGCAAGCGUACGUGGUAGGAGAGCGUUCUGUACGCCUGUGAAGGUGGCUUGUGAAGGCUGCUGGAGGUAUCAGAAGUGCGAAUGCUGACAUGAGUAGCGUUAAAGGGGGUGAAAAGCCCCCUCGCCGAAAGCGCAAGGUUUCCUACGCAACGUUCAUCGGCGUAGGGUGAGUCGGCCCCUAAGGCGAGGCAGAGAUGCGUAGCUGAUGGGAAACAGGUCAAUAUUCCUGUACCGAUGUGUAGUGCGAUGUGGGGACGGAGAUGGUUAGCUCAGCCGGGUGUUGGAUGUCCCGGUUCAAGCCUGUAGUCAUGCCUGGUAGGCAAAUCCGCCGGGCUUAGAUGAGGGGUGAUAACGAGGCGGCUUGCCGCCGAAGUGAGUGAUACCCUGCUUCCAGGAAAAGCCACUAAGCUUCAGCUGCACACGACCGUACCGCAAACCGACACUGGUGCGCGAGAUGAGUAUUCUAAGGCGCUUGAGAGAACUCUGGAGAAGGAACUCGGCAAAUUGACACCGUAACUUCGGAAGAAGGUGUGCCUUUAGUAGGUGAUCCAUUUACUUGGUGAGCCCAAUGAGGCCGCAGAGAAUCGGUGGCUGCAACUGUUUAAUAAAAACACAGCACUCUGCAAAGACGAAAGUCGACGUAUAGGGUGUGACGCCUGCCCGGUGCUGGAAGAUUAAAUGAUGGGGUGCAAGCUCUUGAUUGAAGUCCCAGUAAACGGCGGCCGUAACUAUAACGGUCCUAAGGUAGCGAAAUUCCUUGUCGGGUAAGUUCCGACCUGCACGAAUGGCGUAAUGAUGGCCACACUGUCUCCUCCAGAGACUCAGCGAAGUUGAAAUGUUUGUGAUGAUGCAAUCUCCCCGCGGAAAGACGGAAAGACCCCAUGAACCUUUACUGUAGCUUUACAUUGGACUUUGAACAGAUCUGUGUAGGAUAGGUGGGAGGCUUUGAAGCGGUGCCGCUAGGUGUCGUGGAGCC
RNAcentral lists this ribosomal RNA (1499 nucleotides) under metagenome. RNAcentral's name for it is "bacterial LSU rRNA". It matches the Rfam family "Bacterial large subunit ribosomal RNA", at positions 689 to 2187 of the family's 2925-position model. The record is from RNAcentral.